Molecule: long non-coding RNA, 473 nt
Filed under: Vigna radiata
Lineage: Eukaryota; Viridiplantae; Streptophyta; Magnoliopsida; Fabales; Fabaceae
Description: long non-coding RNA (VRAD_LNC015321)
Source: RNAcentral
CUCUAACAUUCACAUACUUCAGAAAACAUGCAAUUCUUGAUCAUGAGGACUUUUUAAAGGUUAUAUUGGGGCCAAGGCAAAGGUAGGAAAUUUUCUUUGGAAUUUCUGGGUUUUUGAAGUUGAUAUAGAAAGAGUAAUGACACUUUAUUUCAAAAACAACCUUAUUUCUUGCUCUUUUUAGGAAGAUUUUUUUUUCUCUUUCUUUUUUUUUUCAUCACCUUUUUUUUUCUUUUUUUUUUCAUCACUUUUUUUUUUUCAAAACUUCAACUUUAAAUCUUCCUUUUUGCCUUCCUUUUGUUUUGUGGUGAGACACUUACCCACACACUUAUUCAUUACUUACUUAUAACACAAUCCAUUACUCCUUUUUCUUUCCCAAGGUGAGGAAGAUAUGAUUUUUCUUCAUUUUUUUCAUUUGGCAAUUUCUAGAAACAAGAAAAAUAGUCUUAAGGCUCAAAGGGGUUUCCAAUGGAUUA